Molecule: ribosomal RNA, 416 nt
Filed under: uncultured bacterium
Lineage: Bacteria
Description: bacterial SSU rRNA
Rfam family: Bacterial small subunit ribosomal RNA
Source: RNAcentral
AACGAACGCUGGCGGCAUGCCUAACACAUGCAAGUCGAACGAGACCUUCGGGUCUAGUGGCGCACGGGUGCGUAACGCGUGGGAAUCUGCCCUUUGCUUCGGAAUAACAGUUAGAAAUGACUGCUAAUACCGGAUGAUGUCUUCGGACCAAAGAUUUAUCGGCAAAGGAUGAGCCCGCGUAGGAUUAGGUAGUUGGUGGGGUAAAGGCCUACCAAGCCGACGAUCCUUAGCUGGUCUGAGAGGAUGAUCAGCCACACUGGGACUGAGACACGGCCCAGACUCCUACGGGAGGCAGCAGUGGGGAAUAUUGGACAAUGGGCGCAAGCCUGAUCCAGCAAUGCCGCGUGAGUGAUGAAGGCCUUCGGGUCGUAAAGCUCUUUUACCAGGGAUGAUAAUGACAGUACCUGGAGAAUAAG